Molecule: transfer RNA, 72 nt
Filed under: Phrynosoma platyrhinos (Desert horned lizard)
Lineage: Eukaryota; Metazoa; Chordata; Lepidosauria; Squamata; Phrynosomatidae
Description: tRNA-OTHER
Rfam family: tRNA
About the family: Transfer RNA (tRNA) molecules are approximately 80 nucleotides in length. Their secondary structure includes four short double-helical elements and three loops (D, anti-codon, and T loops). Further hydrogen bonds mediate the characteristic L-shaped molecular structure. tRNAs have two regions of fundamental functional importance: the anti-codon, which is responsible for specific mRNA codon recognition, and the 3' end, to which the tRNAs corresponding amino acid is attached (by aminoacyl-tRNA synthetases). tRNAs cope with the degeneracy of the genetic code in two manners: having more than one tRNA (with a specific anti-codon) for a particular amino acid; and 'wobble' base-pairing, i.e. permitting non-standard base-pairing at the 3rd anti-codon position.
Source: RNAcentral
GCCAAUGUGGUGUAGUGGUUUGAAUGUUGGACUAUGGCUCAGGAGACCAGGGUUCGAUUCCCUGCUUAGGCA